ACCCAUGAUUACGACGUCAAGAUGCGCAACGUGAUGAAAUUCCUGGACGCGGGCGACAAGGUGAAGGUUACCUUGCGGUUCCGCGGUCGCGAAAUGGCCCACCAGGAUCUUGGUCUGGAACUGCUGAACCGCGUCAAGGAUGACGUGGGCGAGGCCGGCAAGGUCGAGGCGAUGCCCAAGCUGGAAGGCCGUCAGAUGGUGAUGAUGAUCGCCCCGCGCUGAUCACGUCCCACUGUCACAGGUUUCGAAACCGCGCGAUGCCUUCGCGCGGU
Molecule: unclassified non-coding RNA, 272 nt
Filed under: Paracoccus homiensis
Lineage: Bacteria; Pseudomonadati; Pseudomonadota; Alphaproteobacteria; Rhodobacterales; Paracoccaceae
Description: Long range pseudoknot
Source: RNAcentral